UACGUAGGUGGCAAGCGUUGUCCGGAAUUAUUGGGCGUAAAGCGCGCGCAGGCGGUCCUUUAAGUCUGAUGUGAAAUCUCGCGGCUCAACCGCGAGCGGUCAUUGGAAACUGGGGGACUUGAGUGCAGAAGAGGAAAGCGGAAUUCCACGUGUAGCGGUGAAAUGCGUAGAUAUCGGGAGGAACACCAGUGGCGAAGGCGACUUCCUGGCCUGUUCUUGACGCUGAGGCGCGAAAGCUAGGGGAGCAAACGGG
This 253-nucleotide ribosomal RNA is filed under the name uncultured bacterium. Its description in RNAcentral is "partial 16S ribosomal RNA". It matches the Rfam family "Bacterial small subunit ribosomal RNA", at positions 524 to 776 of the family's 1533-position model. The record is from RNAcentral.